GACGAACGCUGGCGGCGUGCUUAACACAUGCAAGUCGAGCGGUAAGGCCCUUCGGGGUACACGAGCGGCGAACGGGUGAGUAACACGUGGGUGACCUGCCCUCCACUUCGGGAUAAGCCUGGGAAACUGGGUCUAAUACCGGAUAGGACCAUGGGAUGCAUGUUCUGUGGUGGAAAGUUUUUCGGUGGGGAGUGGCCGCGUCUAUCAGCUUGUUGGUGGGGUGGAUGGCCUACCAAGGCGACGACGGAUAGCCGGCCUGAGAGGGUGAUCGGCCACACUGGGACUGAGACACGGCCCACGACUCCUACGGGAGGCAGCAGUGGGGAAGUCUUGCGCAAUGGGCGGAAGCCUGACGCAGCAACGCCGCGUGGGGA
RNAcentral lists this ribosomal RNA (374 nucleotides) under uncultured bacterium. RNAcentral describes it as "bacterial SSU rRNA". It matches the Rfam family "Bacterial small subunit ribosomal RNA", at positions 28 to 407 of the family's 1533-position model. The record is from RNAcentral.